Molecule: long non-coding RNA, 1023 nt
Organism: Zea mays
Lineage: Eukaryota; Viridiplantae; Streptophyta; Magnoliopsida; Poales; Poaceae
Exons: 4
Source: RefSeq, a predicted model, not a curated record
AGACUCCUCCAACGCGCCCUGCUCCUCCUCCAAGUCUGGCCCCGCCUUCCCCUCCUCCCUCUCACUUCUUCGGCACCACCCACCUCUCCACCGCGCCUUACUCCUCCUUCAACUCCGCCCCCCUCUGUCGUGCUUCUUCAGCGCCACGCACCAACAAAACAAGCAACAGGUGAACCCUCCGUCACCAACUUACUUUUCUCACCCACAACGUCGACGAUGUCGGCGACCUACCCGUCCUCGUCCGAGGCGACUCGCCUCAAAUCCAUGCUCCAGCGUAGUCUCGGAUCCAGAUGCACCCUGUGACAAUCUCGGGCUGCGCCCGCACGCGCCGCGCCACGGUCGAGGCAGUGGUCGGCCUGGAUGUCGCGCGUGCCACAACUGUGUAGGACCUGGUGCGCGGCGCUGUCGCCGCUAACGGUCGGCUCCGGCGCCUCGACGGCUUCGCGAAAGCAAAGGACAACUAGAUUUAUAUACUCUCCAUAGUAGCUCCUUUUGACAAGAAAGAAAGCAACAGAAGUGUCGUUCAUACAUGUAAAAAGAUUAAUUUGCAGCAGCAAAUUAUAAUUCCACAGGUCUGAAUUGUGUGUAUAUACAUACAUGUGAAAAAAUUAAUUUGCAAGGACAGCACCUUUUUGGGUUGAAACGCGUGGAAUAAUAGCACUGAUCCUUAGAGACUUCAUCCAACGAGGAUUACAGCUGCAACAUUCCUAAUGGUUUUAACCCACCGGCAGCGAACAGCCAUGGAAGCUUGUCAGAACCUCUGUCGCCAGCUGCAAGCCUGCAAUUGCCACGAAGCACCACAGCACCAGGGCCAAAAACGUCUUUAGACCACCACCCGAUAUACAAUUUAGGUGCUGUUUGGUUCACGAAAUGUAACGUAAAGGGUAAUAGUAAUGGUUUACACUCGAUUAUGGCCGAUAAUAAGUUUAAAUAGUCUGAUAUCAAUUUUUAGUAUGAUAUCUAAUUACGGUUGAACUAAAACAAAUAUGAUUUAACGUUAUCGUUUAUCCAUUACGUUACAAA